GACGAACGCUGGCGGCGUGCCUAAUACAUGCAAGUCGAACGCUGAAGGAGGAGCUUGCUUCUCUGGAUGAGUUGCGAACGGGUGAGUAACGCGUAGGUAACCUGCCUGGUAGCGGGGGAUAACUAUUGGAAACGAUAGCUAAUACCGCAUAAUAGCAGUUGUUGCAUGACAACUGUUUGAAAGGUGCAAUUGCACCACUACCAGAUGGACCUGCGUUGUAUUAGCUAGUUGGUGGGGUAACGGCUCACCAAGGCGACGAUACAUAGCCGACCUGAGAGGGGGAUCGGCCACACUGGAACUGAGACACGGCCCAGACUCCUACGGGAGGCAGCAGUAGGGAAUCUUCGGCAAUGGACGGAAGUCUGACCGAGCAACGCCGCGUGAGUGAAGAAGGUUUUCGGAUCGUAAAGCUCUGUUGUAAGAGAAGAACGAGUGUGAGAGUGGAAAGUUCACACUGUGACGGUAUCUGACCAGAAAGGGACGGCUAACUACGUG
Molecule: ribosomal RNA, 495 nt
Filed under: uncultured bacterium
Lineage: Bacteria
Description: partial 16S ribosomal RNA
Rfam family: Bacterial small subunit ribosomal RNA
Source: RNAcentral